Molecule: ribosomal RNA, 2094 nt
Filed under: Paramoeba branchiphila
Lineage: Eukaryota; Discosea; Flabellinia; Dactylopodida; Paramoebidae
Description: SSU rRNA
Rfam family: Eukaryotic small subunit ribosomal RNA
Source: RNAcentral
CGAUUAACCUGGUUGAUCCUGCCAGUAGUCAUAUGCUUGUCUUAAAGAUUAAGCCAUGCAUGUCUAAGUAUAAGAAUUUUAUAUUUUCGAAACUGCGAAUGGCUCAUUAAAUCAGUUAUAAUUUAUUUGAUGGUCUUUCCACUUGGAUACCAGUGGCAAAUCUAGUGCUAAUACAUGCAUAAAAUCUUGACCCUUUUGGGAAGAGAUGUAUUUAUUAGAUUCAAAAGCCAAUACCUCUUUCGGGGGGUUAUUAAUAUGGUGAAUCAUGAUAACUUAACGAAUCGUAUGGUCUCGCACCGACGAUAGUUCAUUCAAAUAUCUGCCCUAUCAACUUUCGAUGGUAGUAUAGAGGACUACCAUGGUGGUAACGGGUAACGGAGAAUCAGGGUUUGAUUCCGGAGAAGGAGCCUGAGAAACGGCUACUACUUCCAAGGAAGGCAGCAGGCGCGCAAAUUACCCAAUCCCGACACGGGGAGGUAGUGACAAAAAAUAACAAUAUCGAUGUUUUUACAACUUUGAUAAUUGGAAUGAGUACAAUCUAAAACCUUUAACGAGUAUCAAUUGGAGGGCAAGUCUGGUGCCAGCAGCCGCGGUAAUUCCAGCUCCAAUAGCAUAUAUUAAAGUUGUUGCAGUUAAAAAGCUCGUAGUUGGAUUUUGAAAUGUUAUAAAACAACCCGCUUUUGUAAGUGUGUUUUUGUUGUUUUAUAUCUUUCUCCUUACUAGACUUUCACUAUUGUUCUUCAUUGAUCGAUAGUUUCAUCUCUUUUUUGGGGGUGAGUGAUGGUUAGACCUCUUGGGUUUAGGAUUGUGGAUGAUUGCUUCGGUGAUUGUUCUGCUUAGAUUCAAGAACUAACCAUUAGAAAUCUAGUUCUUUUACUUUGAGUAAAUUAGAGUGNUCAAGGCAAGCAAAUUAUUAUUUGUUGCAAUGAAUACUAUUAGCAUGGGAUAAUGGNACAGGACACGUAUUCUAGUUUUCUGUUGGUUUCUAGAAUUUUUUGGCUCUUUCGAGGGUCAGUANUGUAAUGAUUAAAAGGNCAGUNGGGGGCAUUCGUAUUUCAUUGUCAGAGNUGAAAUUCUUGGUUUUUGAAAAAGAACUUCUGCGAAAGCAUUUGUCAAAGAUGUUUCAUAAUCAAGNACGAAANUAGGNGAUNGAAGACGAUCAGNUACCGUCGUAGUNUUACCCUAACUAUGCCGACCAGGGAUNNGAAGAUGUAUUAUUCCGNGUAACAGCGGAAAAACUCNUUCAGUNCNUUACGAGAAAUCAUAAGUCUUUGGNUUNUGGGGGGAGUAUGGUNGCAAGGCUGAAACUUAAAGGAAUUGACGGAAGGNCACCACCAGGAGUGGAGCNUGCGGCUUAAUUUGACUCAACACGGGAAAACUUANCAGGUCCAGACGCAGUUAGGAUUGACAGAUUGAGAGCUCUUUCUUGAUUCUGUGGGUGGUGGUGCAUGGCCGUUNUUAGUUGGUGGAGUGAUUUGUCUGGUUAAUUCCGAUAACGAACGAGACCUCAGCCUACUAAUUAGUUAUGCAAAUGAUUACAUUCUUCAUGAAGGGGGUUUCUGUUAUAGCUUUGGGUUUGACUUGGAGAUAUAAUAGAAAAACUCGUUUUCAUUUGUUAGAAAUUUGACGCUUAGGUUGAUGAUUUCGAUAAUGACUUCUUAGAGGGACACUUGGUGUUUAACCAAGGGAAGUUUGAGGCAAUAACAGGUCUGUGAUGCCCUUUAGAUGUUCUGGGCUGCACGCGCGCUACACUGAUACGAUCAACGAGUACUGAAGACCUUGGUCCGAAAGGAUUGGGUAAACUUUUGAAAUCGUAUCGUGCUGGGGAUUGAUAAUUGCAAUUAUUUAUCAUGAACGAGGAAUUCCUAGUAAGCGCAAGUCAACAGCUUGCGUUGAUUACGUCCCUGCCCUUUGUACACACCGCCCGUCGCUCCUACCGAUGUUUGGUCCGGUGAAAUCUUAGGAUUCGUAGCAUACACUUAUUUUUGCUCUUUUGUGAAGAUGAGUUUGCUGUGGAGAAUUUGAGUAAACCUUGCCAAAUAGAGGAAGGAGAAGUCGUAACAAGGUAUUCGUAGGUGAACCUGNAGAAGGAUC